GUGGUCGUGUGUGGCCGAGUGGUUAAGGCGAGGACUAGAAAUCCAUUGAUCUUCCCGCGUAGGUCUUCGAAUCCUACCGACUACG
Araneus ventricosus is the source of this 85-nucleotide non-coding RNA. NCBI's taxonomy places the organism in Eukaryota, Metazoa, Arthropoda, Arachnida, Araneae, Araneidae. The record is from the annotation of a GenBank genome assembly.